RNAcentral lists this ribosomal RNA (459 nucleotides) under uncultured bacterium. RNAcentral describes it as "partial 16S ribosomal RNA". It matches the Rfam family "Bacterial small subunit ribosomal RNA", at positions 338 to 795 of the family's 1533-position model. The record is from RNAcentral.
CCUACGGGAGGCAGCAGUGAGGAAUAUUGGUCAAUGGGCGCAAGCCUGAACCAGCCAAGUCGCGUGAGGGAAGACGGUCCUAUGGAUUGUAAACCUCUUUUGUCGGGGAGCAAAAGACGCCACGCGUGGCGUUCCGAGAGUACGCGAAGAAAAAGCAUCGGCAAACACCGCCCCAGCAGCCGCGGAAACACGGGGGAUGCGAGGUUUAUCCGGAUUUAUGGGGUUAAAGGGGAGCGCAGGCGGAAGAUAAAGUCAGCGGUAAAAUUGAGAGGCUCAACCUCUACGAGCCGUUGAAACUGGUUGUCUUGAGUGAGUGAGAGGUAUGCGGAAUGCGUGGUGUAGCGGUGAAAUGCAUAGAUAUCACGCAGAACUCCGAUUGCGAAGGCAGCAUACCGGCGCUCAACUGACGCUCAUGCACGAAAGUGUGGGUAUCGAACAGGAUUAGAUACCCGGGUAGUC